ACCACUAGCUCGAGCUCGAGGAGCUCCCUGACGCCCAUCCCCACCAUGGCCGCCGCCUCGGGCUCUGCCCAAUUCCGGCGAUGCCGUGCCCCUCUCCCUGUUCCCCCACCACCUAUGCGUUCCUCGAGGUCCGGCGCACCUCCCCGUAGCCUUGCCCACCCAGUUCCCCCACCGGAGCCCCUUGUUCGCCGGAGUCCAAAGACCACCUCCGCUGCGAGCCCUGCUGCUCCUUCUCCCGUGCUCCUCGCCGGAAACGGACACCACCACGGGAUGCGCCUCUCGCUCCUGAGCUCGUGGAUAGGUCGGCCGUCGUCUGAGGCGGCCGGAGCCGCCGGCAAUCGCCGUCGAGGCGGGCGUCUCCCUCGGCCAGGCUCGCGUACGCGCGGGAGGAAGAAGAAGCCAGGCCAGGCGGGCCCCACCCUGCGGGACCCACCUGUCGGUGAGAGGAGGGCGUGGCCCCGCUGGCCACGUCGGAUAAGUGGACGCGCCCGCCCGGGCAAACCGUUUCCCUGCUGUGGAAAUGUAUUCCACCUGAAUACACUUUCCAGGUCAGAAAACGUAUUCCCUGGGCACUUCGGCCGUAAAUGCGUUUCCCUGUGCGGAAAACAUAUUCAGCCCAAAGGCACGUUCAGUUUUUCCUCCAGGGGCCUGUUUGCUGAAAAACUUUCACCGAUAGGUCCCUGAACUUCAAACCUGCGUAUCUCGACAACCGUAACUCCGAUUGAGCACCCUCCGAGAGAGAACUGUUUCCUGCAAAUCUUUCCGCGAUCGUUCCGCACUUUUUCCGGAGUAAUCCUCGGCCCCAGGCAAGCCAACCUCUUAUCAUGAGCCCCGAACUUGCAUGUUGACUUUGCUGUUUUGUAGGUCGUUCGCUUGUUCCGUCGUGCUAGGCCGUAAUCUUGCCAGUCCUGUGCGUUAUGGUGCCCCGCCUUAGUGAGACGCUGCCAAACCAAGACUUCCGCCGCCAUUUAUAUGGACUUCCGCUGCCAUGUAAAUAGCCUUAGGGCUAUGCCAGAAAAUUGUAUUCAUCAAUGAUGUAAUCUUAUACACAUGUAUUUGAUGA
This is a long non-coding RNA of Triticum aestivum (bread wheat), 1063 nucleotides long. RefSeq lists it as uncharacterized. The transcript has 3 exons. The record is from RefSeq and is a predicted model, not a curated record. Lineage: Eukaryota; Viridiplantae; Streptophyta; Magnoliopsida; Poales; Poaceae.